UUUUCUAAGAGAACUCAUCCCUAAAAUACCUUCUCUCACAGCGAAGUCCCCUCUGAAUAUAAUUUUUAUUUGGUCUGCUCACCUGUCUGUCCUCCAAUCGUAGCAAACAGCCUAUGGGGAAUUCUGGAUGGGAUCUUCAGUCCAGCUCUUAUCUGGCUUGAUGCUGUUACCAAUUCCCUGGGGAGCCUGUUCCAGUGCCCAAAAUACGAGUUCAAGUCUAAACAGAGAAAAGAACUCAUCCCAGUCUUCUCUCAUCACCACUUCCAUGGAUGAAGGAUAAGAGGCAGUGUACAGUACACUGUACACUGUACCUUGUAGCUCAGGAUACCUUCACCUGUUUGCAGAUCU
Long non-coding RNA from Corapipo altera (White-ruffed manakin), 348 nucleotides. RefSeq lists it as uncharacterized. Lineage: Eukaryota; Metazoa; Chordata; Aves; Passeriformes; Pipridae. The transcript is spliced from 3 exons. The record is from RefSeq and is a predicted model, not a curated record.